AUUGAACGCUGGCGGCAGGCCUAACACAUGCAAGUCGAACGAGUGGCGGACGGGUGAGUAAUGUCUGGGAAACUGCCCGAUGGAGGGGGAUAACUACUGGAAACGGUAGCUAAUACCGCAUACCAUCGGAUGUGCCCAGAUGGGAUUAGCUAGUUGGUGGGGUAACGGCUCACCUAGGCGACGAUCCCUAGCUGGUCUGAGAGGAUGACCAGCCACACUGGAACGGAGACACGGUCCAGAUCCCAGGGGGGGGCAGCAGGGGGAAAUAUGGAACAAGGGGCGAAAGCCUGAUGCAGCCAGGCGGGGUGUAUGAAGAAGGCCUUCGGGUUGAAAAGUACUUUCAGCGGGGAGGCGUUACCCGCAGAAGAAGCACCGGCUAACUCCGUGCCAGCAGCGGCGGAAAUA
Molecule: ribosomal RNA, 405 nt
Filed under: uncultured bacterium
Lineage: Bacteria
Description: partial 16S ribosomal RNA
Rfam family: Bacterial small subunit ribosomal RNA
Source: RNAcentral